GAUGAACGCUGGCGGCGUGCUUAACACAUGCAAGUCGAACGAUGAAGCCCAGCUUGCUGGGUGGAUUAGUGGCGAACGGGUGAGUAACACGUGAGUAACCUGCCCUUAACUCUGGGAUAAGCCUGGGAAACUGGGUCUAAUACCGGAUAGGAGCGCCUACCGCAUGGUGGGUGUUGGAAAGAUUUAUCGGUUUUGGAUGGACUCGCGGCCUAUCAGCUUGUUGGUGAGGUAAUGGCUCACCAAGGCGACGACGGGUAGCCGGCCUGAGAGGGUGACCGGCCACACUGGGACUGAGACACGGCCCAGACUCCUACGGGAGGCAGCAGUGGGGAAUAUUGCACAAUGGGCGAAAGCCUGAUGCAGCGAAGCCGCGUGAGGGAUGACGGCCUUCGGGUUGUAAACCUCUUUCAGUAGGGAAGAAGCGAAAGUGACGGUACCUGCAGAAGAAGCACCGGCUAACUACGUG
This 466-nucleotide ribosomal RNA is filed under the name uncultured bacterium. RNAcentral describes it as "partial 16S ribosomal RNA". It matches the Rfam family "Bacterial small subunit ribosomal RNA", at positions 28 to 507 of the family's 1533-position model. The record is from RNAcentral.